RNAcentral lists this ribosomal RNA (350 nucleotides) under uncultured Paraprevotella sp. RNAcentral's name for it is "bacterial SSU rRNA". It matches the Rfam family "Bacterial small subunit ribosomal RNA", at positions 355 to 702 of the family's 1533-position model. Lineage: Bacteria; Pseudomonadati; Bacteroidota; Bacteroidia; Bacteroidales; Prevotellaceae. The record is from RNAcentral.
GGAGGAAUAUUGGUCAAUGGGGCGGAAGCCUGAACCAGCCAAGUAGCGUGAGGGAUGACUGCCCUAUGGGUUGUAAACCUCUUUUGAUUGGGAACAAAGAGCACCACGUGUGGUGCGUUGCGUGUACCUUUCGAAUAAGCAUCGGCUAAUUCCGUGCCAGCAGCCGCGGUAAUACGGAAGAUGCGAGCGUUAUCCGGAUUUAUUGGGUUUAAAGGGAGCGUAGGCGGGCUGUUAAGUCAGCGGUCAAAUGUCAGGGCCCAACCUUGGCAUGCCGUUGAUACUGGCGGCCUUGAGUUCACACAAGGAAGGUGGAAUUCGUCGUGUAGCGGUGAAAUGCUUAGAUAUGACGA